UGAACGCUGGCGGCAUGGCUAAAACAUGCAAGUCGAGGGAAAAGCAUCUUCGGAUGUGGACACCGGCGAAAGGGCGAGUAACGCGAUCGUACGUACCCUUCAGUAGAGGAUAGCGUCGGGAAACCGGCGGUAAUACUCUAUACGCUCUACGGAGGAAAGGAUUCCGCUGAAGGAGCGGCGAUCGUCCUAUCAGGUAGUUGGUGGGGUAAAGGCCUACCAAGCCGAAGACGGGUAGCGGGUGUGAGAGCAUGACCCGCCGCAUCGGGACUGAGAUACUGCCCGGACUCCUACGGGAGGCUGCAGUAACGAAUCUUCCGCAAUGCGCGAAAGCGUGACGGAGCAAUGCCGCGUGUGGGAUGAAGCGGUUACGCCGUGUAAACCACUGUCAGGGUCGAGGAAGAACUGACCAGACCCAGAGGAAGGGCCGGCUAAUCUCGUGCCAGCAGCCGCGGUAAUACGAGAGGCCCAAGCGUUAGGCGGAAUCACUGGGCUUAAAGGGUGCGUAGGCGGACGUGUAAGCAUCGUGUGAAAUCCCUCAGCUCAACUGGGGAACUGCACAGUGAACUGCACGUCUUGAGGCAGGUAGGGGCGAUCGGAACGUUCGGUGGAGCGGUGAAAUGCGUAGAUAUCGAACGGAACGCCAAGAGUGAAGACAGAUCGCUGGGCCUGACCUGACGCUGAGGCACGAAAGCGUGGGGAGCAAACAGGAUUAGAUACCCUGGUAGUCCACGCCGUAAACGAUGUGCACUAGUUCGGAUGCAGGUCUGACCCUGUGUCGGACGCCGAGAAAUCAUUAAGUGCACCGCCUUGGG
RNAcentral lists this ribosomal RNA (812 nucleotides) under uncultured organism. RNAcentral describes it as "bacterial SSU rRNA". It matches the Rfam family "Bacterial small subunit ribosomal RNA", at positions 30 to 878 of the family's 1533-position model. The record is from RNAcentral.